GUCCAACCAGUCUGAAUCCGUUCCUUGAUCCAGAAGUCCCUGAUCCGGCCAACCUCGAAGUAGCUGCAGCUCCCUCAACCGGAGAACCAUCAUCUCUACCGAAUGGCUCGUCCCCAACCAGUGACGGUGGCUCGUCUGCAAACAGCGAGACAAGCGUCCCUUCACUCUUCGAGGAGGACGUCGAGUUCGUCGGGGUUGAA
RNAcentral lists this long non-coding RNA (200 nucleotides) under Linum usitatissimum (flax). RNAcentral describes it as "long non-coding RNA (LUSI_LNC000013)". The record is from RNAcentral. Lineage: Eukaryota; Viridiplantae; Streptophyta; Magnoliopsida; Malpighiales; Linaceae.